RNAcentral lists this ribosomal RNA (1493 nucleotides) under metagenome. Its description in RNAcentral is "bacterial SSU rRNA". It matches the Rfam family "Bacterial small subunit ribosomal RNA". The record is from RNAcentral.
AGAGUUUGAUCCUGGCUCAGAUUGAACGCUGGCGGUAUGCUUAACACAUGCAAGUCGAACGGUAACAGCAGAGCUUGCUCUGGCUGACGAGUGGCGGACGGGUGCGUAACGCGUGGGAAUCUACCUUAUAGUGGGGGAUAGCCCGGAGAAAUCCGGAUUAAUACCGCAUAAGCCCUACGGGGGAAAAGGGGCCUCUCCUUGGAAGCUCUUGCUAUUAGAUGAGCCCGCGUAAGAUUAGCUUGUUGGUGGGGUAAUGGCCUACCAAGGCGACGAUCUUUAGCUGGUCUGAGAGGAUGAUCAGCCACACUGGGACUGAGACACGGCCCAGACUCCUACGGGAGGCAGCAGUGGGGAAUAUUGGACAAUGGGCGCAAGCCUGAUCCAGCAAUACCGCGUGUGUGAAGAAGGCCUGAGGGUUGUAAAGCACUUUCAAUUGUGAAGAAAAGCCUUAAAUUAAUACUUUAGGGUCUUGACGUUAACUUUAGAAGAAGCACCGGCUAACUCCGUGCCAGCAGCCGCGGUAAUACGGAGGGUGCAAGCGUUAAUUGGAAUUACUGGGCGUAAAGCGCACGUAGGCGGUUAGGUAAGUCAGAUGUGAAAGCCCCGGGCUCAACCUGGGAACUGCAUUUGAUACUGCUUAACUAGAGUAUAGUAGAGGCAAGUGGAAUUCCAGGUGUAGCGGUGAAAUGCGUAGAUAUCUGGAGGAACAUCAGUGGCGAAGGCGACUUGCUGGACUAAUACUGACGCUGAGGUGCGAAAGCGUGGGGAGCUAACAGGAUUAGAUACCCUGGUAGUCCACGCCGUAAACGAUGUCAACUAGCCGUUGGGAGCAUUUAAGCUUUUAGUGGCGCAGCUAACGCAUUAAGUUGACCGCCUGGGGAGUACGCGCGCAAGCGUAAAACUCAAAGGAAUUGACGGGGGCCCGCACAAGCGGUGGAGCAUGUGGUUUAAUUCGAUGCAACGCGAAGAACCUUACCAGCCCUUGACAUCCUGCGAACUUUCUAGAGAUAGAUUGGUGCCUUCGGGAACGCAGUGACAGGUGCUGCAUGGCUGUCGUCAGCUCGUUUCGUGAGAUGUUGGGUUAAGUCCCGCAACGAGCGCAACCCUUGUCCUUAGUUGCCAGCACGUAAUGGUGGGAACUCUAAGGAGACUGCCGGUGACAAACCGGAGGAAGGUGGGGAUGACGUCAAGUCAUCAUGCCCCUUAUGGGCUGGGCUACACACGUGCUACAAUGGCAAGUACAGAGGGCUGCAAUCCCGCGAGGGGGAGCCAAUCCCACAAAGCUUGUCUUAGUCCGGAUUGGAGUCUGCAACUCGACUCCAUGAAGUCGGAAUCGCUAAUCGUAGAUCAGCACUGCUACGGUGAAUACGUUCCCGGGCCUUGUACACACCGCCCGUCACACCAUGGGAGUGGGUUGCAAAAGAAGUGGGUAGCUUAACAAUGGGCGCUCACCACUCUGUGAUUCAUGACUGGGGUGAAGUCGUAACAAGGUA